RNAcentral lists this microRNA precursor (95 nucleotides) under Chlorocebus sabaeus (green monkey). RNAcentral's name for it is "miRNA (ENSCSAG00000021033.1)". The record is from RNAcentral. Lineage: Eukaryota; Metazoa; Chordata; Mammalia; Primates; Cercopithecidae.
GAUUUUAUUAGGUUGGUGCAAAGGUAAUUGUGGUUUUUGCCUUUUUUUUAAAAUGGCAAAAACUGCAAUUACUUUUGCACCAACCUAAAUAAGUU